RNAcentral lists this ribosomal RNA (253 nucleotides) under uncultured bacterium. RNAcentral's name for it is "partial 16S ribosomal RNA". It matches the Rfam family "Bacterial small subunit ribosomal RNA", at positions 524 to 776 of the family's 1533-position model. The record is from RNAcentral.
UACGUAGGGGGCAAGCGUUGUCCGGAUUUAUUGGGCGUAAAGAGCGCGUAGGCGGUUUGGUAAGUCCGUUGUGAAAACUCGAGGCUCAACCUCGAGACGCCGAUGGAAACCAUCAGACUAGAGUCCGGAAGAGGAGAGUGGAAUUCCUGGUGUAGCGGUGAAAUGCGCAGAUAUCAGGAAGAACACCCGUGGCGAAGGCGGCUCUCUAGUCCGGUACUGACGCUGAGACGCGAAAGCGUGGGGAGCGAACAGG